CUGGCUCAGAUUGAACGCUGGCGGCAUGCCUUACACAUGCAAGUCGAACGGCAGCACGGGAGCAAUCCUGGUGGCGAGUGGCGAACGGGUGAGUAAUACAUCGGAACGUGCCCUGUCGUGGGGGAUAACUAGUCGAAAGAUUAGCUAAUACCGCAUACGACCUGAGGGUGAAAGCGGGGGACCGCAAGGCCUCGCGCGAUAGGAGCGGCCGAUGUCUGAUUAGCUAGUUGGUGGGGUAAAGGCCCACCAAGGCGACGAUCAGUAGCUGGUCUGAGAGGACGAUCAGCCACACUGGGACUGAGACACGGCCCAGACUCCUACGGGAGGCAGCAGUGGGGAAUUUUGGACAAUGGGGGCAACCCUGAUCCAGCAAUGCCGCGUGUGUGAAGAAGGCCUUCGGGUUGUAAAGCAACUUUUGUCCGGAAAGAAAUCCCUUGCUCUAAUAAAGCGGGGGGAUGACGGUACCGGAAGAAUAAGCACCGGCUAACUACGUGCCAGCAGCCGCGGUAAUACGUAGGGUGCGAGCGUUAAUCGGAAUUACUGGGCGUAAAGCGUGCGCAGGCGGUUUUGUAAGACAGGCGUGAAAUCCCCGAGCUCAACUUGGGAAUGGCGCUUGUGACUGCAAGGCUAGAGUAUGUCAGAG
This 643-nucleotide ribosomal RNA is filed under the name Cupriavidus sp. S5.LIG.008. Its description in RNAcentral is "bacterial SSU rRNA". It matches the Rfam family "Bacterial small subunit ribosomal RNA", at positions 19 to 656 of the family's 1533-position model. The record is from RNAcentral. Lineage: Bacteria; Pseudomonadati; Pseudomonadota; Betaproteobacteria; Burkholderiales; Burkholderiaceae.